Molecule: long non-coding RNA, 594 nt
Organism: Ochotona curzoniae (black-lipped pika)
Lineage: Eukaryota; Metazoa; Chordata; Mammalia; Lagomorpha; Ochotonidae
Exons: 3
Source: RefSeq, a predicted model, not a curated record
AAAAGUGCUAUAUACAUAUGUGUGUAGGUUUGUGUAGAUAAAAGUCUUCAGCUCCUUUGGAUAAUUACUAUCAAACAUGAUGACUGGAUGGCAUGGUAAAGAUAUGUUUAGUUUUAUAGUAGACUGCCAAAUUAUUUUGCAAAGUGUCUGUGCUGCUUUAUAGUUCUACCAGUGAUGAGCGAGUGCUCCUGCUACUCUGUGUUCUUGCCAGCAUUUGACAUUGUCGUGAUGUGGAUUUUGGCCAAACUGAGAGAUGUAACACAUGUGAGAGAAGGUGUGAUAACACACUGUUGGAGAGCCAUCGGAGAUAUGUGCCGUAACAUCAAUCACUGUCACAAAGUUUUAGGUCACUAAUUAUUCAAGUUUAAAUGUAUUUCUGGAGUAGUGAAAUUGAGACGUGGAGCAAAGCCGAACUUUAUCCAACUGCUGAGUCACUUAUUUCAUUAAAGCUUUGUCAAAAACUGCCCACAAGUGUAACAAGGAGCCAGUGACACACAAUCUCUCAUCUCAAGGAGCUCCCAGUCUAGUAUGGGGAACAGAUCCCCGAGGAGGAAAAUCGUCUCUCAAGAUCACUUCUUGGUAAGUCCUUUUGAC